ACGAACGCUGGCGGCGUGCUUAACCCAUGCCAGUCGCACGGAAAGGCCCUGCUUUUGUGGGGUGCUCGAGUGGCGAACGGGUGAGUAACACGUGAGUAACCUGCCCUUGACUUUGGGAUAACUUCAGGAAACUGGGGCUAAUACCGGAUAGGAGCUCCUGCUGCAUGGUGGGGGUUGGAAAGUUUCGGCGGUUGGGGAUGGACUCGCGGCUUAUCAGCUUGUUGGUGGGGUAGUGGCUUACCAAGGCUUUGACGGGUAGCCGGCCUGAGAGGGUGACCGGCCACAUUGGGACUGAGAUACGGCCCAGACUCCUACGGGAGGCAGCAGUGGGGAAUAUUGCACAAUGGGCGGGAGCCUGAUGCAGCAACGCCGCGUGCGGGAUGACGGCCUUCGGGUUGUAAACCGCUUUCGCCUGUGACGAAGCGUGAGUGACGGUAAUGGGUAAAGAAGCACCGGCUAACUACGUG
RNAcentral lists this ribosomal RNA (467 nucleotides) under uncultured bacterium. RNAcentral's name for it is "partial 16S ribosomal RNA". It matches the Rfam family "Bacterial small subunit ribosomal RNA", at positions 29 to 507 of the family's 1533-position model. The record is from RNAcentral.